GUUCCUCCUUGGCACCGUUACAGUGAGCGGAAGCGGCGGCGGCGGCGGCGGCGGGGAGAAUUGACUGAGGUUGUAAUUCCUUGUGGUCAAGCUCCGCCGAGUGGAUCUGAGAAGCAGAAAUUGGCGGUUCCUGUCGGUCUUUUUCAUUGAGAAACAGAAGAGGGAGAGGGACGCAGCCCACAACGCAAAACAGGAAAAGGGAGAGAGGGGGAAAGCAGCCGGAAAAAUACACUUCGGUUGACGGCGUCCGGUAUUGAGUCGACGGAAAGGAAGACGUUGGCGUUGACGGCGUCGAACGGCAACCAGGUUGUCGACGGUAAUCUGUGUACAGAGGGUUGACGGCGUUGAACGGCUAUUGGACGGAAUAUUGACGUUGAACGGUGGUGAGUACCGACGUGUCGUUUUUCCGGCGUGUUUAUCACGGUGAAGGGGGUUAUUCUGCCGUGGGUUCUUCAGUUGUGCGGUGGUUGUUCGACAGGUGGGCCUUCGAUAAGGAUGGGUUUUGGGUCUCGGUAUCAGAAAUAACAGCCGUCGUGUGGGUUUUUCAGUCUUUUGGUGUUUGGUCGACCGUAUAGUCAAGUUCGGUGCUAUUCAUUAGAGAUUCUUGUUAUCUUUGUUGAUAUUGGUACUUGGAAUUGUAGACCAAAUUAAUCGAAUCGUAUUAUGGUUAUCUGAA
Molecule: long non-coding RNA, 676 nt
Organism: Cucumis melo (muskmelon)
Lineage: Eukaryota; Viridiplantae; Streptophyta; Magnoliopsida; Cucurbitales; Cucurbitaceae
Exons: 2
Source: RefSeq, a predicted model, not a curated record